GUUGAACUCAGGGAGAUCUAUCACUGAACUAUAUCCACAGCUCUUUUUAAAAGAAAUUAUUUUCAGAUAGGUUCUCAAUAAUUUACUGAGGGUGGCUUUGAACUUGUGAUCCUCUCUAGCUUCUGCCUCCUGAGUCGCUGGGAGGCAUGUGCCACCACACCCAGCUCAUUCACUCAUUCUUUUAUUAUGCAUAUGACUUCUGCCCAGUACCAAGCAUUCUGAUAUCCUGGGGCCACAGAGAGGAGUAAGAGGCUCUCCAUUCUUAAGGGACUGAGCACAACAAGAUUCAGACACCUAAAUGGAUGAUGACAAUCGCACUUACAAAGCAACACAGAGGCAGCCUUAGCAACUAAUGGCUUUUACAUCUGGAAAGGGAGAAGAGAACAAAAUAUUUGGCCAAUGACUCAAAUCUUUCCACGUCAUCUAGCCUCCGAAAGAUCACCUAUGAGACACUUCAGUUUUAGAACUGUAGAAGUUAAAUAAAGCUUUAUGGAUUUCUGGAUACAUUCUGCUGUCCCCCAGAUCAAUACAGCAGGACUCAUAGUAUCCCUCAGACUGUGAAGACAACCUGGACCCAGGAUGGCUAGCUACGCAGGUAUGUC
Molecule: non-coding RNA, 602 nt
Organism: Ictidomys tridecemlineatus (thirteen-lined ground squirrel)
Lineage: Eukaryota; Metazoa; Chordata; Mammalia; Rodentia; Sciuridae
Source: RefSeq, a predicted model, not a curated record